UGGCCGCGUGGGUUUUCGACGCCUUUCCUUGUCUAAAACAUUUGUAGACCUGAUAAGGCGUCGAGAUAUUAGUUUAACCGCAGAUGACCCGCACGUGAUUCGCCAAUGUCACCGCUUCAUAUUUCUAAGAAAAGUAAACCGCCCCACUUCUCUCACACAUUCACCCUAACUCCGACGAUGAACUCCUUCACUCCAUCUGCAUUUUGCUGGAAAAAUUCCUCAUUUCUUCCAGAUCCACUCUCAAAUGUUAAUGGAGGUCGAAGUUGUAGGAUGAUUCUGUUAUAUUUUUUGAGAGAAUAUCACGUGAGGAAUCAGAAAAAGUUGAGGCGAUUAGCUUCGAGAAGAGUAGUGAUAUGACGCCCUGUCAACUCAUCGCUCGAUGCUUAUGGUUUUUGUUGUUGCUCAAUACCAUGAGAUGAAUGCUAAGACAGCAGCAGAACACUAAAAACAGAAGAAAACAACAGCACAUGCACUUCUGAAUUCUGAUAUGUUCAUAUUGGUUCUUCUGAUAGACUAACCAUCUUUCUAAGCAAGCCCCCAAGCUUUCCCAUGUCUACCAUCCUGCAAAAACAAACCCCAAAUACCUCAGUAAUCAAAACAGAAAAACACGACGACAAAAAACAUAAAUAAGACAUGCAAUUCAGGUCUAUAUUACUACACAAUAAAGUGAAUUUCAGGCCUCAUCCAAAUGAAUGCUCUGGAAGUGAUUGGUAGGUUAUUCCUGGUGAAAACUCCAUAACCCACAUGCGAAUUCAGGAUUAUUAAAAGAUUUUGGAAGUUGAAGACGAUGCAACAGACGGGAUAUAAGAUUAAGUUAUCGAAAGCUCGCUUUGAAAUGGCAUCCGGAUAAACGCAAGGACGAUAGUGUUGUUGUAGACUUGCAGCCAAAUUUCAAAAUAUUAAUGAAGCUUAUAGAGAGAAAUGUGAAAGAUAGCCAUGAAGAUUCUUUUAUAAGAGAAAAGAGGAUCAUCGGCCAAUCAGCCCCACUGUUUACUCUGCAGAAAUUCAAAUCAGCUGAAAAGAUAAGACAAUUGCAGACAUCGUCUUCAAGGUGAUACGAGUAGGAUUUCUGCUAGAUCUGAGAAUCGUGUUUUAAGCACCAAGCCAAAUCCUCUGCUUGCUGAAAAUUAUCAUUCACCCUCUCUGGUGCCGAACACGUAUGAAAAGCUUGUACGAACCGAAAUGCAUAACUUACAUGCAUAAAGCUGAGGUUGCUAGAGAGGAGACAGAGUUGGGAUUCUAUAUUGAUUUGACGCCCUGUUGUUAUCCAUUGAUUGUAUUCUUUGUUAGAUAAUUUUUUGCAAAGUAUUAGGUUUUAUAUUUGAGGGAGUUUUGAUGUAAGCAUACCCAUGUAACUGAUAUUUUUUUAUUCAUAUUUUUUGAAAUAUAACAAGUUAACGUGAAAAUAUUCC
Long non-coding RNA from Spinacia oleracea (spinach), 1412 nucleotides. RefSeq lists it as uncharacterized. The record is from RefSeq and is a predicted model, not a curated record. The transcript is spliced from 5 exons. Lineage: Eukaryota; Viridiplantae; Streptophyta; Magnoliopsida; Caryophyllales; Amaranthaceae.